AAAUCAAGCUAGCACCACAUCGUUCUAGAAUCUGGCAACAAAGAAUUUCAUCCCAGCACUUCUCUGUAAGAAAUAGAACACAAAACAGACAGAAACUUACUCUCUUUUCCUAAGCAUACACUCCAUUACAGAGACAUUCUCAUCAAGGGAAGAAAGAUCUCAAAGCCAGAUCAGGGAUCUCUGGAAGAGGCAUGUGACAAGCCUAUUUGAGUUGGAUUUUUGUCACUGGAAACCUAAAGCGCCAAACACCAGAAUGAAGAAAGAACCUGGCUACAUGAGGCUUAAUUUGACGAUCCCAACAAUCCAUUGUUAAUGAUGUGCCAUCAUUGUGAUUUGCAUUUGAUGAGAAAUGGGAAUGCGAUUGCAGUUAUGUAGCAUGCAUGUGUUAAAUCUGAUCUCUAAUAAAAUCAAACACAUCACAACUCAAAGCACUUUAGCACAGUGUCGGCAAAAUGAAACACCAUCUGUCAUCAUGUAGAGAUUGCCUUAUUAUAAAACAAAAUCAAACUGCUCAGUGUGAACAUUGUUACUUAAUA
Long non-coding RNA from Callithrix jacchus (white-tufted-ear marmoset), 536 nucleotides. RefSeq lists it as uncharacterized. NCBI's taxonomy places the organism in Eukaryota, Metazoa, Chordata, Mammalia, Primates, Cebidae. The record is from RefSeq and is a predicted model, not a curated record.